This 303-nucleotide ribosomal RNA is filed under the name uncultured bacterium. RNAcentral describes it as "partial 16S ribosomal RNA". It matches the Rfam family "Bacterial small subunit ribosomal RNA", at positions 507 to 809 of the family's 1533-position model. The record is from RNAcentral.
AGCAGCAGCCGCGGGAAAACGUAGGUGGCAAGUGUUGCCCGGAAUUAUUGGGCGUAAAGCGCGCGCAGGCGGCCUAUCCAGUCUGUCUUAAAAGUUCGGGGCUCAACCCCGUGAUGGGAUGGAAACUGCUGAUCUAGAGUAUCGGAGAGGAAAGUGGAAUUCCUAGUGUAGCGGUGAAAUGCGUAGAUAUUAGGAAGAACACCAGUGGCGAAGGCGACUUUCUGGACGAAAACUGACGCUGAGGCGCGAAAGCCAGGGGAGCGAACGGGAUUAGAUACCCCGGUAGUCCCUGUCUCUUAUACA